This 101-nucleotide unclassified non-coding RNA is filed under the name Flavobacterium anhuiense. RNAcentral describes it as "Flavo-1 RNA". Lineage: Bacteria; Pseudomonadati; Bacteroidota; Flavobacteriia; Flavobacteriales; Flavobacteriaceae. The record is from RNAcentral.
CCCUAGCCCCGAUACUAGCGGUAUCUCCCGAUUUAGAAAAACAAGGCUUUUUUAGCCGUAGUUUUUGUUAAUCGGGAAUUUAGCCGAAAGCGGGAUUAGCU